GGAUGAACGCUGGCGGCGUGCCUACUCCAUGCAAGUCGAGCGAACAGACGAGGAGCUUGCUCCUCUGACGUUAGCGGCGGACGGGUGAGUAACACGUGGAUAACCUACCUAUAAGACUGGGAUAACUUCGGGAAACCGGAGCUAAUACCGGAUAAUAUAUUGAACCGCAUGGUUCAAUAGUGAAAGACGGUUUUGCUGUCACUUAUAGAUGGAUCCGCGCCGCAUUAGCUAGUUGGUAAGGUAACGGCUUACCAAGGCAACGAUGCGUAGCCGACCUGAGAGGGUGAUCGGCCACACUGGAACUGAGACACGGUCCAGACUCCUACGGGAGGCAGCAGUAGGGAAUCUUCCGCAAUGGGCGAAAGCCUGACGGAGCAACGCCGCGUGAGUGAUGAAGGUCUUCGGAUCGUAAAACUCUGUUAUUAGGGAAGAACAAAUGUGUAAGUAACUAUGCACGUCUUGACGGUACCUAAUCAGAAAGCCACGGCUAACUACGUG
This 498-nucleotide ribosomal RNA is filed under the name uncultured bacterium. RNAcentral's name for it is "partial 16S ribosomal RNA". It matches the Rfam family "Bacterial small subunit ribosomal RNA", at positions 27 to 507 of the family's 1533-position model. The record is from RNAcentral.